AGGAUGCAAUGCCAACUUGUUGCUAGAUAAGAAUUUCCCAUGUUCAUAAUUAGUAUAACCAUGUCAAAGCUAUAUUUAGAUUGGAUUUUAUUCUUAUUGUAUAAAUUGGAUUUGGGUCUAAUACACCCUACACAUGCUAUUCUGAUAAUACCCACAGAUGUUACGGAAGCGGUUAUUCUGCUCCCGAGCACAGGUGCAAUCGGUAUCUGGGCAGCUCAUUUUGUCAUUUGGAUGCGCUGCAUUAAAUUAUAAGCCAGUCAGUGGUUCGUUUUUAAAUCAAGUGGGGAGGAAAUACAGUAGACGGCGGGGGCAUACGGGUUGCCGGUCACAGCGCGCGCAGAUGCCGCUGUGACGGAAGGAGAGCCGAGCCGUGGCUCGGGACUGUCAUAUUUUCCUGAUCCGUAGCUCAGGAAAUCAGUUUUCCGUUAGCCGGCGGUGCCCCGGGCUAGUAAAUGAGGAAUGGAUCCGAGGCGGAGUUGUCUCCUACCUCUUGCUACGCCUGUUGGAUCUCCAUUGACGACUGCGGCCUGCUGAGCAGUAGCGGGUGGCGCUAGUUGGGAUGCAGUUCUUGAUGAAGCCCAUUAGAAGGACGGCUGUGGUGGAGGAGGUGAACGACAACGAGCUUCCAACUGAGCCGCCACACUACCCCGCCGUCGCGGUAUCAAUUGAAGAGCUACCCCCAUGGCAAUAGCUAGCGCAGAGGGACAGAUUUGUGCAGCGGUUGGGGAAGGAGCGGCCGGGGUGUAUGUUGAACCGCCAGCAGAGCAGUCAAUUGAUCAGAUUGACCGAGAAACUCCAGGCUAGACUCGAAGGGUGAGAAUUGGAGCUGCUGCUCCAGGAUGGACGACCUGCCCUAGGCAGCCCAGCGCCCUUGAGAAAGCAAUUCGUGGAUUCGUUGACAAACCGGGUGAAAAUGUAAUCGUGCUUGCCCUGGGUACAGGCUUUGAUACACUCGGCGAGGCGUACAAUUUUUACAAUCUCUACUCUUGGGAGAAGGGUUCAUGUCUCAUAAAGAAUUGCAUGAUAGAGAUGCAGCCUUUUGCUGAAGUUAGGGAUGGGCUAGGAUCGGAGGACAUGAUAGCUGAAAAUGGAGAUGUCAUCAAUCAGCUGCUGGUGCAAACGGCAAUUGCUGCUGCUAGCGGAGAUGCAACUAUUGGGAGCAGGCUUGUUGUAUUGUUGGCACCAAAGAAGCGGAAAGAGAUGGGGCGCCCAACAACUAGCCGGGAGAAAGCACCAUACGAGGGCCUUAGCAAACGGACAAGGUUCUGCGCUAUAUGUCGCCGGCAGGGGCAGAAGAGGACAACCUGCCCGGACCGGGGUGACAUUUCAAAGCCUGUCCGCAAACUAGCUAGGUGCAAAGAUCAUGGCAUCGAAGGUCGGGGGGGGGGGGGGGGGGGGGGGGGGGUGUUAUUCCAUAUGUAGAACUCAUCCUGUUUCAUGUUCCCUGAGUGUACUGGCUAGUUGUUAGUCGUAGCAAUUGCCGAAAUGCCUUGUUUGGGAAUAAAAGGGAAACUUAUCUGCAUGAAUGUUUUGACUCAAUUUAUGAUGGUAUGCACAAUGUACGUGCGCUGAUAGGAUGCUGUCAUUUUUUCAUGAAUUUUCUGACAUUAUGGCCAUGCUUUCUGAAUUUUGUCACAGUAAGCUAUUCAAGACUGAAAUUCCCAAGGGAUAUGAUAUUGCAUCACGAAUUUUUGUAAGCAUC
This is an RNA transcript of Triticum aestivum (bread wheat), 1702 nucleotides long. RefSeq lists it as uncharacterized. The record is from RefSeq and is a predicted model, not a curated record. The transcript is spliced from 3 exons. Lineage: Eukaryota; Viridiplantae; Streptophyta; Magnoliopsida; Poales; Poaceae.